RNAcentral lists this unclassified non-coding RNA (507 nucleotides) under Geropogon hybridus. Its description in RNAcentral is "partial external transcribed spacer". Lineage: Eukaryota; Viridiplantae; Streptophyta; Magnoliopsida; Asterales; Asteraceae. The record is from RNAcentral.
GUUGGCUGUCUCUUGCUUUUUGGUGCCUGUUUGGCCUCUUUGGUUUGAUAGGUGGCUUUUAGCCGAGCAGUCUUCGGGGUUGUUUUCGUUAAAGGUGCAUGAGUGGUUUUUGGUUUGUUUCGGAUGGUUGGAUGUCUGCUUGCGCAGCAACUUCCAUGCGUGCUUACUUCUUCAAUUGUGGUCAAGCCUCUUUUGGCUUGUAGCAUCCGGUGGGUUACCUAUGUUGCAUACCUAGUCGAUGGCAUUGUUUGUCCCUAUAAGUUAGAUUUCGUAACACGUUGCUUGCGGCGUGAUACGAACCAUGAAGCAUGCUCUGUUGUCCAAGCUGUUGUUGCUCAUGCAUCGAUCGAUUGGCCCAUGGAKUGUUGCCUGGUCCCUUAGAUAUGGAACAUUAUGUGGGCACAAGGUCGUCAAUGAUCAUGUAUUUGCCCUUUUUGAGCUGUCUAGCUUCUUUAAAUGACCGUCCACCAUGUAUCGACAUGUCGGUGUAUGGAGGAUUGUGUCAAA